GUGGUGGUGUGUGGUGGUGGUGUGUGUGGUGGUAGUGUGUGGUGGUAGUGUGUGGUGGUGGUGUGUGUGGUGUGUGGUGGUGUGUGUGGUGGUAGUGUGUGUGGUGGUAGUGUGUGGUGGUAGUGUGUGUGGUGGUAGUGUGUGUGGUAGUGUGUGUGGUGGUAGUGUGUGGUGGGUGUGUGUGUGGUGGUAAUGUGUGGUGGUAGUGUGUGUGGUGGUAGUGUGGUGUGUGUGGUGGUAGUGUGUGGUGGUAGUGUGUGUGGUGGUAAUGUGUGGUAGUGUGUGUGGUGGUGUUGUGUAGUGGUAGUGUGUGUGGUGGUAGUGUGUGGUGGUGGUAGUGUGUGUGGUGGUAAUGUGUGGUGGUAGUGUGUGGUGGUAGUGUGUGGUGUGGUGGUAGUGUGUGUGGUGGUAAUGUGUGGUGGUAGUGUGUGGUGGUAGUGUGUGUGGUGGUAGUGUGUGUGUAGUGUGUGUGGUGGUAAUGUGUGGUGGUAGUGUGUGUGGUGGUAGUGUGUGGUGGUAGUGUGUGUGGUGUAAUGUGUGGUGGUAGUGUGUGUGGUGGUAGUGUGUG
Oncorhynchus tshawytscha (Chinook salmon) is the source of this 568-nucleotide long non-coding RNA. NCBI's taxonomy places the organism in Eukaryota, Metazoa, Chordata, Actinopteri, Salmoniformes, Salmonidae. The record is from Ensembl.